UACGGAGGAUGCAAGCGUUAUCCGGAAUUAUUGGGCGUAAAGGGUCCGCAGGUGGUUGUUCAAGUCUGCUGUCAAAGCGUGGAGCUUAACUCCAUAUCGGCAGUGGAAACUGAAUAACUAGAGUUCGGUAGGGGUCACGGGAAUUCCCAGUGUAGCGGUGAAAUGCGUAGAUAUUGGGAAGAACACCGGCGGCGAAAGCGCGUGACUGGGCUGAGACUGACACUGAGGGACGAAAGCUAGGGGAGCGAAAGGG
Molecule: ribosomal RNA, 253 nt
Filed under: uncultured bacterium
Lineage: Bacteria
Description: partial 16S ribosomal RNA
Rfam family: Bacterial small subunit ribosomal RNA
Source: RNAcentral